UGGGGAAUCUUGCGCAAUGGGCGGAAGCCUGACGCAGCAACGCCGCGUGUGGGAAGACGGCUUUCGGGUUGUAAACCACUUUCAGGGGGGACGAAGCUUCCGAGGUUAAUAGCCUACGGGGUGACGGUACCCCCAGAAGAAGCCCCGGCUAACUACGUGCCAGCAGCCGCGGUAAUACGUAGGGGGCGAGCGUUGUCCGGAAUCAUUGGGCGUAAAGCGCGUGUAGGCGGCUUGAUAAGUCUGGUGUGAAAUCUUGGGGCUCAACCCCAAGCCUGCACUGGAUACUGCCAAGCUUGAGUCCGGGAGGGGAGAGCGGAAUUCCUAGUGUAGCGGUGAAAUGCGCAGAUAUUAGGAAGAACACCGGUGGCGAAGGCGGCUCUCUGGAACGGUACUGACGCUGAGACGCGAAAGCGUGGGGAGCGAACAGGAUUAGAUACCCUGGUAGUCCACGCCGUAAACGAUGGGCACUAGAUGUGGGCGGUGUCGACUCCGUCCGUGUCGAAGCUAACGCAUUAAGUGCCCCGCCUGGGGAGUACGGCCGCAAGGCUA
RNAcentral lists this ribosomal RNA (549 nucleotides) under uncultured bacterium. RNAcentral's name for it is "bacterial SSU rRNA". It matches the Rfam family "Bacterial small subunit ribosomal RNA", at positions 355 to 896 of the family's 1533-position model. The record is from RNAcentral.